GCCACCAUGGCCGAGUGGUAAAGCUCGCGACUUUGAUUCGUCAGGUCGUGGGUUCGCGGCCCACUAUGAUCUGAGGCU
Halocaridina rubra (Hawaiian volcano shrimp) is the source of this 78-nucleotide non-coding RNA. The record is from the annotation of a GenBank genome assembly. Lineage: Eukaryota; Metazoa; Arthropoda; Malacostraca; Decapoda; Atyidae.